AACCAUUCUCACCUGCGGCUAGACCUGCGGAAGGAUCAUUAAAAAAAUCUUUUGCCCGCGGACCUUUUGUCGUCCAAGGCGCAAAAAGACCCACACCUGUGUGCACUGUUAUCGUUUCUUUGGCAGGGGCUUGGGUGGAAUUUUUUUUCCCUCAACUUCUCCUUCGGCUCUAUCCUUUCUCUCGGGGGGAGGACAGCUGGACAUGGGAAGCAGUUUACCCUGCCAAGUAAACCUCAAACA
Molecule: unclassified non-coding RNA, 240 nt
Filed under: soil metagenome
Description: partial contains 5.8S ribosomal RNA, internal transcribed spacer 2, and large subunit ribosomal RNA
Source: RNAcentral